This 373-nucleotide unclassified non-coding RNA is filed under the name uncultured Sphingobacteriales bacterium. RNAcentral describes it as "contains 16S-23S intergenic spacer region". The record is from RNAcentral. Lineage: Bacteria; Pseudomonadati; Bacteroidota; Sphingobacteriia; Sphingobacteriales.
UCACCGCUUGCGCGGGCAGUCUCAUUAGAGUCCCCAGCAUGACCUGAUGGCAACUAAUGAUAGGGGUUGCGCUCGUUACGGGACUUAACCCAACACCUCACGGCACGAGCUGACGACAGCCAUGCAGCACCUAGUUUCGUGCCCUUGCGGGAAGGCCUCUUUCAAGGCCGGUCACUAACUUUCAAGCCCGGGUAAGGUUCCUCGCGUAUCAUCGAAUUAAACCACAUGCUCCUCCGCUUGUGCGGGCCCCCGUCAAUUCCUUUGAGUUUCAAUCUUGCGACCGUACUUCCCAGGUGGAUAACUUAAUGCUUUCGCUUAGACGCUGACAGUAUAUCGCCAACAUCGAGUUAUCAACGUUUAGGGCGUGGACUAC